Molecule: ribosomal RNA, 468 nt
Filed under: uncultured bacterium
Lineage: Bacteria
Description: partial 16S ribosomal RNA
Rfam family: Bacterial small subunit ribosomal RNA
Source: RNAcentral
GACGAACGCUGGCGGCGUGCUUAACACAUGCAAGUCGAACGGAAAGGCCCUGCUUUUGUGGGGUGCUCGAGUGGCGAACGGGUGAGUAACACGUGAGUAACCUGCCCUUGACUUUGGGAUAACUUCAGGAAACUGGGGCUAAUACCGGAUAGGAGCUCCUGCUGCAUGGUGGGGGUUGGAAAGUUUCGGCGGUUGGGGAUGGACUCGCGGCUUAUCAGCUUGUUGGUGGGGUAGUGGCUUACCAAGGCUUUGACGGGUAGCCGGCCUGAGAGGGUGACCGGCGACAUUGGGACUGCGAUACGGCGCAGAAUCCAACGGGAGGCAGCAGGGGGGAAUAUUGCACAGUGGGCGGAAGCCUGAGGCAGCAGCGCCGCGUGCGGGAUGACGGCCUUCGGGUUGUAAACCGCUUUCGCAUGUGACGAGGCGUGAGUGACGGUAAUGGGUAAAGAAGCACCGGCUAACUACGUG